UUGCUCUUCAACGAGGAAUACCUAGUAAGCGUGAGUCAUCAGCUCGCGUUGAUUACGUCCCUGCCCUUUGUACACACCGCCCGUCGCUACUACCGAUUGAAUGGCUUAGUGAGGUCUCCGGAUUGGCUUUGGGGAGCCGGCAACGGCACCCUAUUGCUGAGAAGCUGAUCAAACUUGGUCAUUUAGAGGAAGUAAAAGUCGUAACAAGGUUUCCGUAGGUGAACCUGCGGAAGGAUCAUUAUUGAAUAAACUUGGUGUGGUUGUUGCUGGUCCUUUCGGGGGCAUGUGCACACCCAUCAUCUUUAACUUUCCACCUGUGCACAUUUUGUAGGUCAAAAAUUUUUCCCGAGACACGCGUUUCGUGGAAUAGGUUUUUGCCUAUGUUUUCAUAUACACCAUAAGAAUGUAACAGAAUGUAUCAAUGGGCUUCAUGCCUAUAAACUAUAUACAACUUUCAGCAACGGAUCUCUUGGCUCUCGCAUCGAUGAAGAACGCAGCGAAAUGCGAUAAGUAAUGUGAAUUGCAGAAUUCAGUGAAUCAUCGAAUCUUUGAACGCACCUUGCGCUCCUUGGUAUUCCGAGGAGCAUGCCUGUUUGAGUGUCAUUAAAUUCUCAACCUUAUCAGCUUUUGUUGAUAAUGGCUUGGAUGUGGGGGUUUCUUGCUGGUUUCUUAUUGAAAUCUGCUCCCCUUAAAUGCAUUAGCUGGUUGCCUUGUGCAGACUGUCUAUUGGUGUGAUAAUUAUCUACGCCAUUGACUAUCUGCCAGUCUUUAGCACCGCUUCUAACUGUCUGUUAACUCGGACAAUAUAUGACAAUUUGACCUCAAAUCAGGUAGGACUACCCGCUGAACUUAAGCAUAUCAAUAAGCGGAGGA
Molecule: ribosomal RNA, 873 nt
Filed under: uncultured fungus
Lineage: Eukaryota; Fungi
Description: eukaryotic LSU rRNA
Rfam family: Eukaryotic small subunit ribosomal RNA (bases 1-241)
Source: RNAcentral